AGAGAGAGAGGCACACCUGUCCUCCUUAAUGAC
RNAcentral lists this transfer RNA (33 nucleotides) under Pachyornis australis (crested moa). RNAcentral describes it as "partial tRNA-Lys". Lineage: Eukaryota; Metazoa; Chordata; Aves; Dinornithiformes; Emeidae. The record is from RNAcentral.